RNAcentral lists this long non-coding RNA (809 nucleotides) under Mytilus galloprovincialis (Mediterranean mussel). The record is from RNAcentral. Lineage: Eukaryota; Metazoa; Mollusca; Bivalvia; Mytilida; Mytilidae.
UGGUCAAUGAAUUAAUUUACCCAUUAGCAUUUGUUGUUCAGUGAGUUGAUAGUGUAAACAUUGGUAACUAUCGCGUUAUCGAUUCAAAAAUAAACCAAGGAAAGUAAUUAGCAGGGGCGUAGCUGCCGUUAGGCACUUUAGGCACGUGCCUACACAUAAUUUUUUCACAAAUAUUUUUUUUCAUUAAAAAAAAUAAUAAACAACGUUAUAUGUACAUGAACUCCAGUGAAGUUGUCACAACGUCUACACUAGUCUCUCGUGCUUAGUGAAUGGAAUAUUGGACAGAAUUGAAUGUUUUUUAUGUGUGUACCUUAUAUAGAAACUAUAAACUAGAACUUUGGUUCAGAUCAUUUCAAUUCUAUCAACAAAAACUUGAAUGAACCUCAACUUAGACACAUGAACUUUUAAUUAGUUGUUAUUAGUUUUCAACUAGCUUUCCACUUUGUCUUCACCCGACUUGCCAGUGUUGGUCGUCCGUUUGGUUGUGCAGGAUGUAUAAAUACGUAGUCACGUCUGGUCAGAAUGGGCGGGAAAUUUAAUAUUAUGCCUAGUUGUAGAGAGAAUGCCACUCUUUGAGGAGUUCAUAGUUGGUCUACUGAAAGACAAAGUUUCUGCUCCUAUCAAAUAAUUCAUCAUUUUCCAAUGCAUGGCAUUUUCAAAUCUUUUUGUUCUAAACUUGCGUAAAUAUUUUACACUGGAUGUUUAAAAAUCAAUCUUUCAAAUAGCUUCCAUGCAGUAGUUUUGACUACUCUCAGAUCUACGUUUAAUGACCAUAAUUAUUCAAAUUCCUAAGCAGGUAGGGAUUUUAC